CCCUUAGAUGUUCUGGGCGGCCCGCGCACUACAUUGGCACUCUCAAUAAGUUCCUAGAUCUAAAACUUUGGGGUAUUCUAUUAAGUGGUGUCGUGACUGGGAUUAACCCUUGCACUUAUUGGUUACGAACGAGGAAUUCCUUGUAAUCGCGGUUUAUCAGCCCGCGUUGAAUGCGUCCCUGCCCUUUGUACACACCGCCCGUCGCUCCUACCGAUGAAUCGUCCGGUGAAGUUCAUGGAGUGGUGGUUGUUCCAGCUGCUGUCGAAGUGAAAUGGACCUCACGAUUUAGAGGAAGGAGAAGUCGUAACA
RNAcentral lists this ribosomal RNA (309 nucleotides) under uncultured eukaryote. RNAcentral describes it as "partial 18S ribosomal RNA". It matches the Rfam family "Eukaryotic small subunit ribosomal RNA", at positions 1470 to 1796 of the family's 1831-position model. The record is from RNAcentral.